CUCAGCAGCUGGGGCUGAGGUAGUGUUGUGGUAGUCCAGUUGGAGAGUCGGUUGAAAGAAAAAUUUCCAGGGGCAGAGUAUUACAGAAAGUGAAUUUACUAAGAAAAAAGAGCAAAAAUAAUGUAGGGACUGGGAGUACAGUGGGCCAACCUCCUGACAGGUCAGAGAGUCGACUGUUAGAACAGCCGGUGAGCUCAAGGGAGAACCAAUGCUUUACGUGGGCUAGUAGCCAAUUUUUAUAGCCUCUAAACAAAGGAAAUUCCUGCUGGAAGGAUGGCAUCAUCAUUGGUGAUUGGUCAGGGUGCUAUAGCGUGAGUACUAGAGUGGGUAUUUUUGCCUAAUAGGGGUAAGGGAGCUGGCCAGUAAGAAGCAGGGAGGUUUUGUCAAUGGUUACAAUAGGACUUGUGGGAUUUAUCCCUGGGUUGGGAAGAUACCCUGGAGUAGGAAAUGGCAAUCCAUUCCAGUAUUCUUGCCUAUAAAAUUCCAUGGACAGAGGAGCCUGAUGGGCUACAGUCCAAGGGGUCGCAAAGAGUCAGACAGCAGUAAGUUAAUGAGCACCCACAUACACGCAGUGGGGCUCAGUCACGUCCAGAGGUGGCCUUAGUUCUAGGCUCUGCGUCUGUGGCCUUAGUACAAGACCUCACACCUGUAACCUUCAUAUGGGACUCCACAGUUGUAAAAACAAGCAAAGAAGAAAGUCCCCUUUGGCCUGUGAGGAAGUGCUCUAACGUGACCUGUGUUUUGUGCUGUCGCCUGCUGAGAUGGGGUGCUCUGUCUGGCAGUUUCUGCACCUGCUGGAGCCAAAAGAUACUUGGAUUGUUAGCUCUAUGUAGCUUUAGAAUGGACUUCCCUGGUGACUCAGACUAAGGAAUCUGCCUGCAAUGUGGGAGACCCGAGUUUGACCCCUGGGUUGGGAAGAACACCUGGAAAAGGAAAUGGCUACCAACAUCAGUAUUUUUGCCUGGAGAAUUCCAUGGACAGAAGAGUCUGGAAGGCCACAGUCCUUGGGGUCACAAAAAGCCAGACAGGACUAGGUGAUUAACACACAGUCUAAGUAUAGGAAGAACAGGCAUCCUUCCCUCUUCCCAGUCUUCAUGGGGAAGAUUCACACUUUCCCCUUGUAUAAUGCUAUUUUGGGGAAUUUUUUUUGUAUAUGCUUUUUAUUAUGUUGAGAAGGUUCUCCUCUCUUCCUAUCUGAGAGCUUUAUUCACCCAUGGGUGUUUGAAUUUUAUCAGAUGCGUUUUAUGGAUCAAUUGAGGUGAUUUUAUGAUUUUUCUUCAUUAGUCUGUUAAUAUGGUGAAUUACACUGAUUUUUAGCAUUGAAUAAGCCUUGCACACUUCAAAUAAACUCCAUUUGGUCAUAAUGUCAUAGUGUAUAGUUUGGUCAUAAUGUAUAAUUCUUUUUAUAUGUUUCUGAAUUCUAGUUUCUAAUAUUUUAUUAAGGAUUGGUAUAUCUAUAUUUUUGAAUGUAGUUUUCUUUUAAAUUUUGACAUCUCUGUGUUCCUUGAUAGUAUAUAGAAAUAAAAUAAUAC
Molecule: long non-coding RNA, 1532 nt
Organism: Bos taurus (domestic cattle)
Lineage: Eukaryota; Metazoa; Chordata; Mammalia; Artiodactyla; Bovidae
Source: Ensembl